UGGGGAAUAUUGCACAAUGGGGGAAAACCUGAUGCAGCGACGCCGCGUGAGCGAAGAAGGCCUUCGGGUCGUAAAGCUCUUUUAUGAGGGAAGAUAAGGACGGUACCUCAAGAAAAAGCCGCGGCUAACUACGUGCCAGCAGCCGCGGUAAUACGUAGGGGGCUAGCGUUGUCCGGAAUCACUGGGCGUAAAGGGUUCGCAGGCGGAAUAACAAGUCAGAUGUGAAAGGCAUGGGCUCAACCCAUGUAAGCAUUUGAAACUGUAAUUCUUGAGAAGUGGAGAGGUAAGUGGGAUUCCUGGGGUAGCGGUGAAAUGCGUAGAUAUUAGGAGGAAUACCGGUGGCGGAGGCGACUUACUGGACACAAAUCUGACGCUGAGGAACGAAAGCGUGGGUAGCAAACAGG
This 404-nucleotide ribosomal RNA is filed under the name Verrucomicrobiota bacterium. RNAcentral's name for it is "Verrucomicrobia bacterium partial 16S ribosomal RNA". It matches the Rfam family "Bacterial small subunit ribosomal RNA", at positions 355 to 776 of the family's 1533-position model. Lineage: Bacteria; Pseudomonadati; Verrucomicrobiota. The record is from RNAcentral.